This is a non-coding RNA of Lactuca sativa (garden lettuce), 1351 nucleotides long. The record is from RefSeq and is a predicted model, not a curated record. Lineage: Eukaryota; Viridiplantae; Streptophyta; Magnoliopsida; Asterales; Asteraceae.
GUCCUAAAAUAAUAGUCCAUAGACAAAAAACACACAAUUUAAGAAAACAUUAAUUACCAUUAACUUUAUUAAAUGAAAUGACAGUCUUACCCUUCUGUUGUAUUUAAUUUCAUGGUAGUUGCAUUUAAUUUUAUGGUAAUUUAACUAAUAAUGAGGGGUAUUAUGGUAAAAGAAAUAUUUAUUUUUAAAAAUAGAAAAUUAUUUUGGGAGAUGGUUAUCACACCUGAUUCCUUCCUUAAUCCUUAUUUUUCUGAGGACUUCGUCCUUAAGAAUCUUUCUGAUUUCACAUCAUCAUUUCCAUAACAUCGCUUCCUGAUUAAUCCGACGAACAUGUUUUUCGUUAUAUUUCUCAGGUUCAAGUUGAUACAUUUCUUGAUCAUAUCCCGUCCACGACCAUCGUUCCAUUGAAUGGGUUCACCAUACACCUAAUUUCACGCCCAUGGCUUGUCCGUAAAGAUGUCUACACUGCAGCAUUUGUCGCUUCCAUCACUCUUAUAGAUUACUUGUCCAGGGGAAUUGUGAAAGGUUAACUUCCACCCACGAGGUGUUCGGCAUAAUGCCAGGAAAUCAAGAAAAUAUGAGGAAACUACAACAACAGUGUGAGAUAAAGAAGCAAUCUUUUCCAUUAGUUGGAAUCGAUAUGGGUAAAAGAAGGUCAUUUGGGUGUUGCUCGAAGGUGGAACUAACAAAUUUCUCCAUAUUUAAUGGCGUCCAAGUGGUGUCAAUUGACAUGUCUCCAUUCAUGCAAAUUCAUGAUGUGGAUAUAACAAGAAAGACAUAUGAUAGCUUGGAAAAAUUCGCUGCAAAGAUGUUUGCUUUAUUUCCCAAGAAGAUAAAUAUUAAGCUUUUAUGACCCUUAAUUUCUUACUAAUUUUGCAUAAAUAUUUUGUGAUUUUUGGUGGGGUUAUUACCAACUAUUGUCAUGAUUUUGAUGUUUCUUUAUUGUUACAUAUUUGAACUGAUUUAUGAUGGCAUGCCCUACUCGUUAAUUAACCAGUUAAGUUAUUAUCUAAUAUUUUUUCAAAAUUUUUAAUGAUUUUGGGUCAUCUUGUUAAAUAUAUAUAUUUUUUAAAUUUUAUUUGUAUUCUUUUAAUGUAGCUUCUGGACAACAUUGAAGAACUCUUCUUUUUUGGUUGCAUGAGAUAGCAUUUGGCAUAUAACAAGACAUACUACAAUGACAACAAAAGUUCUACAGCUGGAAGGGUUUUAGAUGCCUUUAGGGAGGUGGCUUAGGAUCGAUAGAAUUUAUUAUCUAAUGUAAUUAUUUUUUGUAAAAGGUUUUUUUAGAUGUACUUCAUUUAUGAUUGGGAUGUUAUAGUUACCAAAAUGAAUGGAUUAGAUUGUAUGACAA